RNAcentral lists this transfer RNA (71 nucleotides) under Marmota monax (woodchuck). RNAcentral describes it as "tRNA.Ala". The record is from RNAcentral. Lineage: Eukaryota; Metazoa; Chordata; Mammalia; Rodentia; Sciuridae.
GUGGUUGUGGCUCAGUGGUAAAGCACUUACCUAGCAUGUACAAGCCACUGGGAUCAAUCCUCAGCACCACA